RNAcentral lists this long non-coding RNA (4969 nucleotides) under Gossypium barbadense (sea-island cotton). Its description in RNAcentral is "long non-coding RNA (GBAR_LNC016000)". The record is from RNAcentral. Lineage: Eukaryota; Viridiplantae; Streptophyta; Magnoliopsida; Malvales; Malvaceae.
UUGGAAAUUAAAUUAUAAGGAUUAAAUUUUAAAUUUAAGUAUAUUAGAAAGACCAAAACUGAAAAUUAACUACUUUUAUAAAAUAUAAAAAAAGCACGAUAGGUGUGUGUCAUGUAACACCCCAUAUCCGACCUGAUCGCCGAGUCUGAGCUACAAAGUGUCACAUUCAUUGCCAAAGUAACUAUGACCAAAUUAAAUACAAUUCAUAUCAUUAUACAUGCAAAUACGAGUAAUAUAAGCAAGUAAUACGAUAAAUAAUCAUUCUUGGGUCUUAUACGAGCUUAUGAAAGCUCUAAUGCUAACCCAAGAUCAAUUUAGGAUUGAAUUGUAAAGAAUUCAAAUUAUAAGGUUGAUAUUGCAACGUAAGGGAAUUCCUCGUCACAUCGUGACAUACUGUUUUGGCCUCGUCAAGACGAUGGAGUCUCUCGUCGUGCCGAGACAUACUAUUUUGGCCUCGUCGAGACGACGGAGUCCUCUUCAUGUCGUGGCAUACUAUUUUGGCCUUGUCAAGAUGACGGUGUCUUUCGUCACGCCGUGACAUUAUAAGUCAUUUCUCGUCGCAACGACAUAUAUUUGACGUCACGAUGUCACUUAUUGUUUCUGCAAUUCCUAAUUGAAUUUCAACCUGUAAAUAUUCAAAUUAACUUAUGUGCAUAAACAUACCAUACUUUUAGCCAAAUAAUGCAAUUUACCUGGAAUAAUAAUGCUUUAAUCAACUAUACACUAAUGAUAAAUUACAUAUAAGUUCAUCAACUUUAAGGCUUCAAACAUACUUCCUAUGCACAAGUACCAUUUGCAAAUACAUCUUUUAUACAAUACUAAACCACAAAAUAAACUUUAUACAAUUUUUAGUAAAUUGAGUCAUAAAUAAUUAUUAGAAGUAAUUAUGAGUUUAGUUAAGUGCUUAAUUAGAUAUUAAUUAGGUGAAUUUAGCCUAAUUUAAAGUAAUUAGGAAAAAAGGAUCAAAUUGAAUAAAUAAUGAAAGCCUAAUUAUAGAUUAAAAGAAAGUAAAAUGGGCUAAAAUGGGAAUUAAGCCAUUUAUAUGAAAUGAGUGGCAUAUAUGCAUUAAAAUCUAAGAUUUUAUUUAAGUUAUACAUAAAUAUUAUAUAUUUAAUUAUUAUAAUUAUUAACCAUUAUUAUGGUCUUAUAUUAUUAAUAUUAUUAUUACUAUUAUUAUUAUUAUUAUUAUUAUUAAAUAAAGUAAAUGGUAGACAAUUAUAUGGUAAUAAAAUAUACAUGUGUAAAAAUUAUAUUUGUACAUUUGUAAACUAAACACAUAAAUUACUUAUAAUUUAAGUAUGAAGAUAUUUUAUAAUUAAUUAUUAAUUGUAUUAAUUAAGUUAUAAGAUUUUUUUUGUGAUAAAUAAACUAAAUGAUGACAAAUGUAUGGUAUAGAUGAUAUUGUACAUUUAUAAAUAAAAUAUAUAUGUACAUUUGUAAUAUUAUUAUUUGUUGUUAAAUAGAUUUUUAUUGAAUAAAUAAGAUAAUUGACAAAUAAAUGGUAUAAAAUUUAUACAAGUGUAAUAAAAUAAAUAUGUACAAAUGUAAUUAAACAAUUGGUUUACUUAAUAUUUAAGCAUAAGAUAUUUUAUAUUGAUAUUAUAUUAAUUAUUUAGUAAUUAAAAACAAUAAAGCAAAUAAAAUAAAGUAAAAGAAAGAAAACAAAAAUAAAAGGGAAAACUAGGGAUUUGAAGCUUGAAGUUUAAUUGGUAAGCUAAAUUAAGUCCUUUUCUUAUAAAUUUGAUGUUUUUGGAAUCCUAGAGUGAAAUGCUUUUGGAUUUAAGUUAAAAAUUUGGAAGUUAAUAGAUUUUUUAGUAGGGUUUAUGUUGAAUAAAUUGUUGAAUUAGGAAUUUAAAUGACUGAAUUUCUAGUUAGAAUUGAUAAAAGGAUUAAAUUGUGAAGUAAGGUAUAAGUUUUAUGUUGUAGGGACGAAAUUGAGGAAAAUUAGAAAUUAGUGAAAUUUGCUGAAAGUUUGGUAGUUAAAUUUGAGUUUAGAUAAAAUUUGAAUAGAAAUAGAGUGUGAAUUAAAUUAGAAAAAUAGAUAAAUCUAGGGGUGAGCAUUCGAUCAAAUCGAAUCGAAUCGAAAAUUUUCGAGUUAAUCGAGUUUUCGAAUCUCAUUUUAUCAUCCUAACUUUAUUUGAAGUUUUCUCGAAUCGAGUCGAGUGAGAUGGAAUUCGAAUCGAGUCGAGUGAGAUGGAAUUCGAAUCGAAUCGAAUCAAAUCUAUUUGUUCGAGUUAAAUUUUAAAAAAUAAUUUUGGAUCCUUGUAACCAUUGUCACCCAUCGUAAUAAAAUUUGACCACCUUAAUCAAAAUUUUUAUUAACUUUCAUGUUUAUCAAUCAUAAUCGAGCAUAUGACCAAUUAUACACAAAUCAUUCAUAUAUUUUCCAAUUUUCCUCGUCCUUCUCUCCAUUUCACAUCCUUAAUAUGUAUAACACACUUAAACAACAAUAUCUAUACUUUCACUAUUUUCCUGUAUGUAAAUUCAAACUAUCUGUCUGAGUCAGAGUUACUAAUUUAUUUAUAUCUUGAGAUACCGAGCUCCAAAUUAAGAUCCGUUAAUUUUCCCCAAAACUAGACUCACAUAUCUUCUUACCAUAAAAUUUUUAGAAUUUUUUCUUAGCCAAUAAGUACAGUUUAUUCUUUAAAGUUUCCCCUAAUUUACUGCUCGACAGUUCUGACCUUUCUUCACUAAAAAUUAAUUAUUUCAUAGUACAUAAUUCGGAUAAUGUUCUCGUUUGUUUAUUUUGAAAAUAGACUCAUUUAGGAUUCUAAAAAUAUAAAUUUUAUAUCAUAAUUAUUUUUUUACAAUUUUAAAUGAUUUUACAAAGUCAGAACAGGGGAUUUCGAAAUCAUUCUAGCUCUAUCUCACUAAAAUUCAAAUAUCUCAUUCAGCUUUAAUUUCAUAUAUUAUUCAAACUCUAAUUCAAUUUCCACCAUUUUCGGUGAUUUUUCAAAGUUACACAACUGUUGCUGUCUAAACUGUUUUGUUGCUAAAUGUACUCUUUCAUAAUUUCACUUUUUCUCACUUUUCCCUUUUUUAAUGAUCAAAGUCAAUUUCUCGUCUUUCUUGAUUUAUAUUAACACAUUUAUCUUGUUUAACACACACAUUAUUCAAUUUAGUCCAAAAAUCAUACUUUGAAAAAAUUACAUUUUUACCCCUAAAGUUUCACAAAAUUACGAUUUUGCCUCUAGGCUCGUAAAAUAAUUUUUAUUCAAUUUUAUUGCAUUUUAGGCCUAGCAGAACCAUUUUCAUAACUAUAGCAGCCCACAAUUAUCACUUAUUCACACACUUGUGACAUAUUUUAUAACUUUUACAAAUUAAUCCUUUUAGGCAUUUUCAUCGAAAAUCACGUAGUAAAAGACGUUCAUCACACUCCAAACAUUCAUAUUCUUCCAUAAAACAUCAAAAUACAUGCAUAUCAUUCAUGGGUAAAUUUUUAAACACAAACCCUAGUUCAAAAUAAUGGUAAAAAUAGGUAAAUAUUGUUACGGGGAUUUCAAAAACGUAAAAAUCAUUAAAAACGGGGCUAUAACGGACUUACAAUCGAGCUUGGAAGCUUGAAAAACCCUAGCCAUGGUUUCUCAAUGCAAUUUUCGGCCUAGGGGUUGAAGAUGGACAAAAAUUGACUUUUAAUUUUGUUUUUAAUUCAUUUUAAUAACUAAAUGACCAAAAUGCCCUUAAUGAAAAACUUUGGAAACAUGCCUAACCAUAUCCAUUUUUGUCCACCAACUUAACCAAUGGUCUAAUCAGCGUAUAAGGACCUCCAAUUUAAAAUUUCAUAACAAUUGGACACCUCUAACAUGUAGAUCUCAACUUUUGCACUUUUUACAAUUUAGUCCUUUUGACUAAAUUGAGUGCCCAAACGUUGAAAUUUUUGAACGAAAUUUUCAAAAAAUCAUUUUAUGAAAUUUUAAACCAUAAAAAUAUAAUAAAAAUAAAUUUUAUCCACGUCAGAUUUGUGGUCCUGAAACCACUAUUUUGACUAGGCCCAAAAUCGGGUUGUUACACACACGACUUGAGACACGGGCGUGUCUCCAAACCGUGUGAGUCACACGGCCUAGCCACAUGGCCGUGUGGCCCCUGCAGUGUUGAAAAUUUUAAAUAUGUUCAAUUUUUUUUUGAGUUUUCGACUUAGUCCCUAUUUGUUUCUAAUGCGUAGUUUGGGCCUAGAGGGUUCAUUUAAGGGACAAUAUGUAUAAUUUUGAUUGGUUUCUAAUAUGAAUGCUAGAUGAAAUAAAACGUCUGGUAAUUAAUUUGUAAACACUGGUAAUGCUCUAUAACCCUGUUCCAACGACAAAUUCGGGUUAGGGGUGUUACACAAAAGCUCGCAUCACUCAUUGUCAACUCUCGCCUUUCCUCUCCCUUUUGACAGUCUUGCGUCAUUUUUAACUACGAGUAAUAAUUUGGAAAUAAUAUAAUAUCAAAUUCCAUCAAAAUCACAUUCAAUUACAAAGUCAUACAUAUUUGCAACUUAUUCAAUUUAGUCCCUAAAACCGAGACUAACAUAAUUUUCAAUAUAAAGCUUUAGAUUACAAUCCGAUUUCACAAUUACUCAUUAGGGAUCUCCUAUUUCUUAUUCCUACUAACAAUUUUAAAUUUUAUUCAAUUUAAUGCCUAAUAUACAAAACUAUCAAUUAAGUUUUACAAUUUAGUCCUUUUCUUAAACUAAGUUUAACUUCUACCAAUUUAACACAAAAUUCAUCCAUUUCUCAACAAUGGUAACUUUCUAAAACUUUAACAAUUUUACAAAUUGGUAUAUGGGCUAGCUAAAUCAAACUCCCAUAAUCUCAAAAAUAUAAAAAUUACAAGAAAAUGACUUAAUUCAACUUACCAAAUUGUUGGCCAAAGUUUACGAUUUUUGAAGCAUGCCUUUGAGUCUUUCUCUCAAAUAUUUCGGUGGUUUUUGGGAAGGAAGAUUACAACCUCCACUAGUGUUUUCUUUAUAUAUAAAAAAAAUUAAGCUUAC